RNAcentral lists this ribosomal RNA (380 nucleotides) under uncultured soil bacterium. Its description in RNAcentral is "bacterial SSU rRNA". It matches the Rfam family "Bacterial small subunit ribosomal RNA", at positions 26 to 384 of the family's 1533-position model. The record is from RNAcentral.
AGAUUGAACGCUGGCGGAAUGCUUUACACAUGCAAGUCGAACGGCAGCACGGGGGCAACCCUGGUGGCGAGUGGCGAACGGGUGAGUAAUACAUCGGAACGUGCCCAGUCGUGGGGGAUAACGUAGCGAAAGCUACGCUAAUACCGCAUACGAACUCUGGUUGAAAGCGGGGGACUCGCAAGAGCCUCGCGCGAUUGGAGCGGCCGAUGGCAGAUUAGGUAGUUGGUGGGUAAAGGCUCACCAAGCCUGCGAUCUGUAGCUGGUCUGAGAGGACGACCAGCCACACGUGGGACUGGACGACGACCGGCCCAGACCUCCGUACGGGAGCAGCGAGGUGGGUAAUUUGGACUAAGUCGGGACGCGAACGGUCCUGACUCCGA